GACGAACGCUGGCGGCGUGCUUAACACAUGCAAGUCGAACGGAAAGGCCCUGCUUUUGUGGGGUGCUCGAGUGGCGAACGGGUGAGUAACACGUGAGUAACCUGCCCUUGACUUUGGGAUAACUUCAGGAAACUGGGGCUAAUACCGGAUAGGAGCUCCUGCUGCAUGGUGGGGGUUGGAAAGUUUCGGCGGUUGGGGAUGGACUCGCGGCUUAUCAGCUUGUUGGUGGGGUAGUGGCUUACCAAGGCUUUGACGGGUAGCCGGCCUGAGAGGGUGACCGGCCACAUUGGGACUGAGAUACGGCCCAGACUCCUACGGGAGGCAGAAGUGGGGAAUAUUGCACAAUGGGCGGAAGCCUGAUGCAGCAAAGCCGCGUGCGGGAUGACGGCCUUCGGGUUGGAAACCGCUUUCGCCUGUGACGAAGCGUGAGUGACGGUAAUGGGUAAAGAAGCACCGGCUAACUACGUG
RNAcentral lists this ribosomal RNA (468 nucleotides) under uncultured bacterium. RNAcentral's name for it is "partial 16S ribosomal RNA". It matches the Rfam family "Bacterial small subunit ribosomal RNA", at positions 28 to 507 of the family's 1533-position model. The record is from RNAcentral.